CAUUAUGCCUGGAAUGGUUUAUGUUUCAAAUAAUUUAUUGCCGUAGGAUGGGACUGCAGCCUAUCAGUUUGUUGGUGAGGUAAUGGCCCACCAAGACUAUUACAGGUACGGGCUCUGAGAGGAGUAGCCCGGAGAUGGGUACUGAGACACGGACCCAGGCCCUAUGGGGCGCAGCAGGCGAGAAAACUUUGCAAUGUGCGAAAGCACGACAAGGUUAAUCCGAGUGGUUUCUGCUAAAGGAACCUUUUGUCAGUCCUAGAAACACUGAUGAAUAAGGGGUGGGCAAGUUCUGGUGUCAGCCGCCGCGGUAAAACCAGCACCUCAAGUGGUCAGGAUGAUUAUUGGGCCUAAAGCAUCCGUAGCCUGCUUUGUAAGUUUUCGGUUAAAUCCAUACGCUCAACGUAUGGGCUGCCGGGAAUACUGCAAAGCUAGGGAGUGGGAGAGGUAGACGGUACUCGGUAGGAAGGGGUAAAAUCCUUUGAUCUAUUGAUGACCACCUGUGGCGAAGGCGGUCUACCAGAACACGUCCGACGGUGAGGGAUGAAAGCUGGGGGAGCAAACCGGAUUAGAUACCC
RNAcentral lists this ribosomal RNA (575 nucleotides) under uncultured archaeon. Its description in RNAcentral is "bacterial SSU rRNA". It matches the Rfam family "Archaeal small subunit ribosomal RNA", at positions 162 to 738 of the family's 1478-position model. The record is from RNAcentral.